Molecule: ribosomal RNA, 893 nt
Filed under: uncultured eukaryote
Lineage: Eukaryota
Description: SSU rRNA
Rfam family: Eukaryotic small subunit ribosomal RNA
Source: RNAcentral
CGAUCCGCCCUGUGCCAAGCAGCCGCGGUAAUUCCAGCUCCAAUAGCGUAUAUUAAAGUUGUUGCAGUUAGAACGCUCGUAGUCGGAUUUCGGGGCGGUCCGACCGGUCUGCCGAUGGGUACGCACUGGUCGGAGCGUCCUUCCUGCCGGAGACCGUGCCUACUCUUAACUGAGCGGGGGCGGGAGACGGCACUUUUACUUUGAAAAAAUCAGAGUGUUUCAAGCAGGCAGCUCGCUCUUGCAUGGAUUAGCAUGGGAUAAUGAAAUAGGACUUUGGUGCUAUUUUGUUGGUUUCGAACACCGAAGUAAUGAUGAGAAGGGACAGUCAGGGGCACUCGUAUUCCGCCGAGAGAGGUGAAAUUCUCAGACCAGCGGAAGACGAACCACUGCGAAAGCAUUUGCCAGGGAUGUUUUCACUGAUCAAGAACGAAAGUUAGGGGAUCGAAGACGAUCAGAUACCGUCGUAGUCUUAACCAUAAACCAUGCCGACUAGGGAUUGGAGGAUGUUCACUGAUUGACUCCUUCAGCACCUUACGGGAAACUAAAGUCUUUGGGUUCCGGGGGGAGUAUGGUCGCAAGGCUGAAACUUAAAGGAAUUGACGGAAGGGCACCACCAGGUGUGGAGCCUGCGGCUUAAUUUGACUCAACACGGGGAAACUUACCAGGUCCAGACAUUGUGAGGAUUGACAGAUUGAGAGCUCUUUCUUGAUUUAAUGGGUGGUGGUGCAUGGCCGUUCUUAGUUGGUGGAGUGAUUUGUCUGGUUAAUUCCGUUAACGAACGAGACCUUAGCCUGCUAAAUAGUGACGCGAACUCUUUGUUCGCGGGCCACUUCUUAGAGGGACAACUUGUCUUCAACAAGUGGAAGUUUGAUGCAUCAAUCAGUACUGUGAUG